CGGAAUUCCAAGAAACAUCACCUCGAUCCGAAUCGGACGCGUUAUUUUCAAGGUAUUGGCCGGUUUACGACACAGUUUUCACUUUCGUUUUUGGUAGAAUUCGUAUCCAGAUUCACAAAGUGCCUGCAAAUUGAUGUUUUUCACUGCUCGAUGGCCGAUCAACCGCACUAGACAACAUAAGCUUUUAAGAAUUUUAACGGAAAGUAACGACUUGGAGUAUUUAUCACAGAUAUAUUUAUAAAUAAAAUCCUACUUUUUUAAAACGUU
Molecule: non-coding RNA, 267 nt
Organism: Onthophagus taurus
Lineage: Eukaryota; Metazoa; Arthropoda; Insecta; Coleoptera; Scarabaeidae
Source: RefSeq, a predicted model, not a curated record